Molecule: ribosomal RNA, 407 nt
Filed under: uncultured archaeon
Lineage: Archaea
Description: bacterial SSU rRNA
Rfam family: Archaeal small subunit ribosomal RNA
Source: RNAcentral
UUGCGGUUCAAUUGGAUUCAACGCCGGAAAACUCACCGGGGGCGACAGCGAGAUGAAGGUCAGGCUGAAGACCUUACCGGAUUAGCUGAGAGGUGGCGCAUGGCCGUCGGCAGUUCGUGUCGUGAAACAUCCUGUUAAGUCAGGCAACGGGCGAGACCCGCGCUCACAGUUGCCAGCAUGUUCUUCGGAACGAUGGGCACUCUGCGAGGACUGCCACCGCUAAGGUGGAGGAAGAAGCGGGCCACGGUAGGUCAGUACGCCCCGAAUCUUCCGGGCUACACGCGUGCUACAAUGGACAGUACAAUGGGUAUCAACCCCGAAAGGGGAAGGUAAUCUCCUAAAACUGCCCUCAGUUGGGAUCGAGGGCUGCAACUCGCCCUCGUGAACCAGGAAUCCGUAGUAAUCGC